Molecule: ribosomal RNA, 254 nt
Filed under: uncultured bacterium
Lineage: Bacteria
Description: partial 16S ribosomal RNA
Rfam family: Bacterial small subunit ribosomal RNA
Source: RNAcentral
UACGUAGGGGGCAAGCGUUGUCCGGAAUCAUUGGGCGUAAAGAGCGUGUAGGCGGCCAGAUAAGUCCGCUGUGAAAUCUCGAGGCUCAACUUCCGAGCUGUCGGUGGAAACUGUCUGGCUAGAGUCCGGAAGAGGAGAAUGGAAUUCCUGGUGUAGCGGUGAAAUGCGCAGAUAUCAGGAAGAACACCCGUGGCGAAGGCGGUUCUCUGGGACGGUACUGACGCUGAGACGCGAAAGCGUGGGGAGCGAACAGG